UACGUAGGGUGCAAGCGUUAAUCGGAAUUACUGGGCGUAAAGCGUGCGCAGGCGGCUUUGCAAGACAGAUGUGAAAUCCCCGGGCUUAACCUGGGAACUGCAUUUGUGACUGCAUGGCUGGAGUGCGGCAGAGGGGGAUGGAAUUCCGCGUGUAGCAGUGAAAUGCGUAGAUAUGCGGAGGAACACCGAUGGCGAAGGCAAGCCCCUGGGCCUGCACUGACGCUCAUGCACGAAAGCGUGGGGAGCAAACAGG
RNAcentral lists this ribosomal RNA (253 nucleotides) under uncultured bacterium. RNAcentral's name for it is "partial 16S ribosomal RNA". It matches the Rfam family "Bacterial small subunit ribosomal RNA", at positions 524 to 776 of the family's 1533-position model. The record is from RNAcentral.